GAUUUCUGGCCUGACGUGCCUGGCCCGCUGGCGUUAGCCAUGUGAGUGCCGGGACGCGUCUGCCAUCCUUCUAGUGCACAUUCCUACUCUUCAUUGAGCCGGGGAUGCUGAGCUAGAUCUUUUACUUUGAAAAAAUUAGAGUGUUUAAAGCAGGCUUUUGCUAUGAAUACAUUAGCAUGGAAUAAUAAUCUAGGACUUCGGUUCUAUUUUGUUGGUUUCUAGGACUGAAGUAAUGAUUGAUAGGGAUAGUUGGGGGUGCUAGUAUUCAGCGGCCAGAGGUGAAAUUCUCGGAUUCGCUGAAGACUAACUUAUGCGAAAGCAUU
This 323-nucleotide ribosomal RNA is filed under the name Allapsidae sp. Its description in RNAcentral is "SSU rRNA". The stretch from base 113 to 323 matches the Rfam family "Eukaryotic small subunit ribosomal RNA", at positions 743 to 955 of the family's 1831-position model. Lineage: Eukaryota; Cercozoa; Glissomonadida; Viridiraptoridae. The record is from RNAcentral.